Marmota flaviventris (yellow-bellied marmot) is the source of this 461-nucleotide long non-coding RNA. RefSeq lists it as uncharacterized. Lineage: Eukaryota; Metazoa; Chordata; Mammalia; Rodentia; Sciuridae. The record is from RefSeq and is a predicted model, not a curated record.
UAAUUCAGCCUUUUCCAUCCCCUAUCUCCUGAUAAAAACAGCAACUAACAAGAAAGAUAAUGAGGAGUGGAUCCUACUGCCAACAAUGACCCUUAAAUUCCUGCUUGUCCUCCAUCACCCAGCUUCUGACCUCAAAAUACGACAAGGGUCACAGCCACGUUAAUCACAUGAAGCCAAGAGAGGAAAGAUGAAGGCUUGAAACUAAAUCUACCUUCUUGCAUCCUGUUUCCAGAAGGAAGAGUAUGUAGCCCUGAAAAAGCUGCUUGCACAGGUAAUUCUUCCCAAGACUCGUAAUAUGGUGGGGACAGGAGGCACAAGGCUGGCCAGAAGAAGAUGGAGGAGACCCCACCACCACCACACCAGCUUCUCUCCACCGCACUGACAUCAUCCAACUCAAUCCUGGACCCAGGAGAGGUUGUGGGUGUGUCUGUUUCUAAUUAACAGUAGAAACUUUUGGUCGA